CAAAUCAGAAGUUACAAGGUUUAAGGGAAGAAUUGAAUGCGAUUGUCCCAUACUUGGAGGAGAUGAGAAAGAAGAAAGUUGAAAGAUGGGACCAAUUUGUUGAUGUCAUAGAGCAAAUUAAGAAGGUUGCAUCUGAAAUCAGGCCUGCAGAUUUUGUACCCUUUAGAAUUUCUAUGGAUCAGUCUAAUCUGUCUUUAAGAAAGCUAGAGGAGCUAACGAAAGAGCUGCAAUCCCUUCAGAAGGAGAAGGUCCACUUAUAUGAUAUUACAUUGCAAAUAAGACCCGCCAUCUCUGUUGAUUUUGGUGAGUCACUAAUCAAGGCAGCUGUUGCUGAUCCAAAUGGGCAUGAUGUCUAUGUUGGCACAGGAAUAGGGGACCUUUGCUUCCUUCGACAUGAGAAUAGACCUGAAAGAGCAUACGAGACGUGCUCAUUGCAGACCUUAAAGAGCAUAGGAGACAGAACUGGAAGAGCAUAGGAGACGUGCUCAUUUGAUUGGCGAGGAAGGCUAUGCAGCUGAAUUUAGCGAUGAGGCUAUUGAGGCAGGAGCUGUUGAUCCUACGCUGGUGCUGGUACAAAUUGAGGCUCACAUUGCCACAGUGAAAGAGGAAGCUUUUAGCAGGAAGGAUAUUCUCGAGAAGGUUGAAAGAUGGUUGAAUGCAUGUGAGGAGGAUGCUUGGCUGGAAGAUUACAACAAAGAUGACAAUCGUUAUAAUGCCGGGAGGGGGGCCCACUUGACACUCAAAAGGGCUGAGAAAGCUCGUAUUUUGGUUAACAAGAUCCUAGGACUGGUAGAUGUUUUAACCACAAAAAUUGUAGCCUGGGAGGCAGAAAGAGGAAAGGAAUUCACAUACGACGGUGUAAGUUUUCUUAUUCCUGUACUUUUUUUCUUGGAUGUUUAAUUCCUUUCAGAAUCAAGUACAGUCAGGAAGCAGUUCUUUAGGAUCUUCUGGAAUGCUAUACGAAGGAAGCUCGGGUGACAAUGCUCCAUUUGAUAUUAAUGACUUUCCUCAGUUAACUGGACGACCUAAUUCUGCUGGAGGUGGUCAAGGACAAUAUGGAUCACUGAGAAAGCAUGGAGUAAGCGUCAAUGCCAUUGUACAACAAAACCAGGAAUUCAGCAUUCAGAAUGAAGAUUUUCCAGCUUUACCAGGUAAUAAAGGUGUGUGCUCA
Molecule: long non-coding RNA, 1171 nt
Organism: Zea mays
Lineage: Eukaryota; Viridiplantae; Streptophyta; Magnoliopsida; Poales; Poaceae
Exons: 7
Source: RefSeq, a predicted model, not a curated record